This 470-nucleotide ribosomal RNA is filed under the name uncultured organism. RNAcentral describes it as "partial 16S ribosomal RNA". It matches the Rfam family "Bacterial small subunit ribosomal RNA", at positions 334 to 796 of the family's 1533-position model. The record is from RNAcentral.
CACUCCUGCGGGAGGCAGCAGUGGGGAAUUUUGGACAAUGGGCGAAAGCCUGAUCCAGCAAUGCCGCGUGUGUGAAGAAGGCCUUCGGGUUGUAAAGCACUUUUGUCCGGAAAGAAAUCCUUGGCUCUAAUACAGUCGGGGGAUGACGGUACCGGAAGAAUAAGCACCGGCUAACUACGUGCCAGCAGCCGCGGUAAUACGUAGGGUGCGAGCGUUAAUCGGAAUUACUGGGCGUAAAGCGUGCGCAGGCGGUUUGCUAAGACCGAUGUGAAAUCCCCGGGCUCAACCUGGGAACUGCAUUGGUGACUGGCAGGCUAGAGUAUGGCAGAGGGGGGUAGAAUUCCACGUGUAGCAGUGAAAUGCGUAGAGAUGUGGAGGAAUACCGAUGGCGAAGGCAGCCCCCUGGGCCAAUACUGACGCUCAUGCACGAAAGCGUGGGGAGCAAACAGGAUUAGAUACCCCAGUAGUCC